GAUGAAGAACGCAGCGAAAUGCGAUAAGUAGUGUGAAUUGCAGAAUUCAGUGAAUCAUCGAAUCUUUGAACGCACAUUGCGCCCUAUAGUAUUCUGUAGGGCAUGCAUGUUCGAGCGUCAUUUGUACCUUCAAGCUUUGCUUGGUGUUGGGUGUUUGUCCUCUCCCUGGUGUUUGGACUCGCCUUAAAACAAUUGGCAGCCAGUGUUUUGGUAUUGAAGCGCAGCACAAUUUGCGAUUCUGGCCUUAAAAUACUAGCGUCCAUAAGUACAUUCUCCCUUUUGACCUCGGAUCAUGUAGGGAUACCCGCUGAACUUAAGCAUAUCAAUAAGCGGAGGA
RNAcentral lists this unclassified non-coding RNA (337 nucleotides) under soil metagenome. Its description in RNAcentral is "partial contains 5.8S ribosomal RNA, internal transcribed spacer 2, and large subunit ribosomal RNA". The stretch from base 1 to 120 matches the Rfam family "5.8S ribosomal RNA", at positions 35 to 154 of the family's 154-position model. The record is from RNAcentral.